UCACUGGUUAAGAUUAAUCAUUGAGUUCGCUAUCCCGCCUUGACUGUAACAAGUGAGAGACAUUUGGAAGAGGCUCGUCGCUUAGCGUCAUUACAGAAGAGACGAGAACUUUGAAUGGUGGGGAUUUACUUGGGCUCAGGUGGCCGUCGAAAAAAUUAUCUAUUAGCUGAUUAUUCAGUAACUUCUUCUCCAGCAAUCGCUGACGCUAGAACCCCAAAAGUUGCAUCAAUGAGCAGAGAAACGAUUCUAAUGGAAGCUCAAAAUCUUAUGGCUCUUUCCAAUGACGAAACACCAUUGAAAGGAGGUCUUAACACUCCGUUACAUGAGAUUGAGACUCCUCUUGGUGGACCGAAAACAUCAGUUUCGGCUACACCGAACACAAACAUUGGAGAAGUGUAAUCAAUUAUUAAUUGUCAGACUGGAGAAAGAUUAAUCUAAAUCAAUGGCUGAUUAAUUACUCAUUUUUGAUUGAAAUAUGUUCUGAUUAUACAAGUUCCUAAUCCUAUACUCGUGGCAACAAUUUACUUUUGCUCAUCCACUAAUUUCUAGCGUUUUUCUCUUAGUAUAAAAGGAGAUGUAAUUUAAUUGUGAAAAUCAUUCUGACUCUUCAUUUGUUCAACAAACAAUUAACUGAUUAUUUUGCCCUUGUUCGUGUGUCUAAAUCACUCAACUCAAUCCCAACAAAUAAAAUGGACUCCAAAUCAAUCAUCGUUUAUGUCGCUCUCUUUGCUUCAGCCAUCGCAAUGGCUUUUGCUAACCCAGAGCCCGAACCUGAACCACAACCAAUCGGUCAACUACUCAGCAGCCUUCUCGGAGGAAAGUGAUAAUUACAGUUAUGAAAAAUGUUCUAUUAACGAAAAUUAAACAACCGUUCAUUGAAGUUUUCAUUGAUUAAAAUGAUCCAAGUUAAUUUAUAUUGUUCGACAUAUUAUCAAUACUAUGAUUGAUAAAUUUAAAUAAAGAAUUAGAACCAAGCAAA
Panonychus citri (citrus red mite) is the source of this 979-nucleotide long non-coding RNA. RefSeq lists it as uncharacterized. The transcript is spliced from 2 exons. The record is from RefSeq and is a predicted model, not a curated record. Lineage: Eukaryota; Metazoa; Arthropoda; Arachnida; Trombidiformes; Tetranychidae.